RNAcentral lists this ribosomal RNA (408 nucleotides) under uncultured bacterium. RNAcentral's name for it is "partial 16S ribosomal RNA". It matches the Rfam family "Bacterial small subunit ribosomal RNA", at positions 28 to 526 of the family's 1533-position model. The record is from RNAcentral.
GACGAACGCUGGCGGCGUGCUUAACACAUGCAAGUCGAACGGAGUGGCGAACGGGUGAGUAACACGUGGGUGAGCUGCCCUGCACUUCGGGAUAAGCAUGGGAAACUGGGUCUAAUACCGGAGAGUGUGGGAUGGGCCCGGGGCCUAUCAGCUUGUUGGUGGGGUAAGGGCCUACCACGGGGGCGACGGGUAGCCGGCCUGAGAGGGUGGACUGCCACAUGGGGACUGCGACACGGCCCAGACUCCAACGGGGGGCAGCAGUGGGGAGUAUUGCACAAUGGGCGGAAGCCUGAUGCAGAGGCGCCGCGUGGGGGAUGUAGGUCUUGGGGUUGUAAACGCCUUUCACCAUCGACGCGGUAGAUGCAGAAGAAGCACCGGCUAACUACGUGCCAGCAGCCGCGGUAAUAC